GGGGAUAUUGCUCAGUUGGUAGACUUUUUGCUUGGCAUGCAUAAGGCCCUGGGUUCAAUCACAAGCACCCCCC
RNAcentral lists this transfer RNA (73 nucleotides) under Marmota monax (woodchuck). Its description in RNAcentral is "tRNA.Ala". The record is from RNAcentral. Lineage: Eukaryota; Metazoa; Chordata; Mammalia; Rodentia; Sciuridae.